UCGACAAAACGCGAAACGGUGAAUUCGAUCGCUUGAUCCAGCUUCAAAAACACAACGUAACUAUCAAUCACAAAUCCACAGUAAGCUAUGAGGAGAGUCACCGGACUUGCUGGGCCCACAAUCUCAUCCUCCGUCACAAUCCAUCCACCGGACUUCCAUUUUUCUUCUAUUUUUUUCUCUCUCGCCCGAAACAGCGAUUGCCGAUGCGAUUCACCUCAAAUCCAGAACUUCAGCAUGUCCAAAUGGCAAGUUUUACUAUAGGAACAUAGGAAGUUCACCAAAGUUCGUUUACUCUUUUCUUGUAAACGAUGUUCUCUUGAAAACGUAUUCCUUGUGUUGGAACCAUUCUAGGUUGUUUGAACUUUGUACCGAAGAUUUAAGCCUAGGUGACGAUGCUAGAAAUAUUGACAAUUGGAGGUCCCGUAUCACAGAGAAGGUAAAAAAAAUUAAGGGGGAUGUAUUGAACUGAAGAUUUUAAGAGAUUUUGGGAUAUUCUUAAAUCCCCUGUUA
Molecule: long non-coding RNA, 510 nt
Organism: Camelina sativa (false flax)
Lineage: Eukaryota; Viridiplantae; Streptophyta; Magnoliopsida; Brassicales; Brassicaceae
Source: RefSeq, a predicted model, not a curated record